AUUGAACGCUAGCGGGAUGCUUUACACAUGCAAGUCGAACGAGUGGCGGACGGGUGAGUAAUAUAUCGGAACGUGCCCAGUAGCGGGGGAUAACUACGCGAAAGAGUGGCUAAUACCGCAUAAUAUGGUAGCGGCCGAUAUCGGAUGAGCUAGUUGGUGGGGUAAAGGCUCACCAAGGCAACGAUACGUAGCUGGUUUGAGAGGACGACCAGCCACACUGGGACUGCGCCACGGCCCAGACGCCGACGGGAGGCAGCAGUGGGGAAUUUUGGACAAUGGGGGAAACCCUGAUCCAGCCAUCCCGCGUGUAUGAGAAGGCCUUCGGGUUGUAAAGUACUUUUGGCAGAGAAGCGGUAUCUGCAGAAUAAGCACCGGCUAACUACGUGCCAGCCGCCGCGGUAAUUC
Molecule: ribosomal RNA, 405 nt
Filed under: uncultured bacterium
Lineage: Bacteria
Description: partial 16S ribosomal RNA
Rfam family: Bacterial small subunit ribosomal RNA
Source: RNAcentral